RNAcentral lists this ribosomal RNA (484 nucleotides) under uncultured bacterium. RNAcentral's name for it is "partial 16S ribosomal RNA". It matches the Rfam family "Bacterial small subunit ribosomal RNA", at positions 28 to 523 of the family's 1533-position model. The record is from RNAcentral.
GAUGAACGCUGGCGGCGUGCUUAACACAUGCAAGUCGAACGGUGAAGCAGGAGCUUGCUCUUGUGGAUCUGUGGCGAACGGGUGAGUAACACGUGAGCAACCUGCCCCUGACUCUGGGAUAAGCGCUGGAAACGGCGUCUAAUACUGGAUAUGUGAUGUGACCGCAUGGUCUGCAUCUGGAAAGAAUUUCGGUUGGGGAUGGGCUCGCGGCCUAUCAGCUUGUUGGUGAGGUAAUGGCUCACCAAGGCGUCGACGGGUAGCUGGCCUGAGAGGGUGACCGGCCACACUGGGACUGAGACACGGCCCAGACUCCUACGGGAGGCAGCAGUGGGGAAUAUUGCACAAUGGGCGGAAGCCUGAUGCAGCAACGCCGCGUGAGGGAUGACGGCCUUCGGGUUGUAAACCUCUUUUAGCAGGGAAGAAGCGAAAGUGACGGUACCUGCAGAAGAAGCACCGGCUAACUACGUGCCAGCAGCCGCCGCAG